CGCACCUUGCGCCUUUUGGCUAUUCCGAAGGGCAUGCCUGUUUGAGUAUCAUGAACACCUCAACUCUCGUGGUUUGCUACGACGAGUUUGGACUUUGGGGGUUUUGCUGGCCUGUGGUCGGCUCCUCUCAAAUGAAUUAGCUUCCCAGCGUUUGGUGGAGUCACAGGUGUGAUAACUAUCUACGCUUGUGGUUUUUUUACCAGAUAACCUUUGGGUUCGCUGGGGCUCAUAAAUGUCUUUCCUCAGUGAAGACAGCUUUUGAACGUUUGAUCUCAAAUCAGGUAGGACUACCCGCUGAACUUAA
RNAcentral lists this ribosomal RNA (304 nucleotides) under uncultured Thelephoraceae. RNAcentral's name for it is "eukaryotic LSU rRNA". Lineage: Eukaryota; Fungi; Basidiomycota; Agaricomycetes; Thelephorales; Thelephoraceae. The record is from RNAcentral.